GCGGAAUAAAUUCAAAUAAUUAUUAUUCAACUUUAAUUCAAAUAAUUAAAUCAAAUAUCUUACGUCCAAUAAAAUUUUACUAAAAAUAAAACAAUAGAUCUAAGUUCAAUGAAGUUGACAAUGCUAAAUCUCGCCUCUAAAAGCUCUGUCCCAAUAUUUCUUCCCACGCUCGCAAUUAAUUAUCUGAAUCUGAAAAAUAGAAAGAAAGGUAAUGAGCUAGACAGCCCAGUA
RNAcentral lists this long non-coding RNA (231 nucleotides) under Elaeis guineensis (African oil palm). RNAcentral describes it as "long non-coding RNA (EGUI_LNC036096)". The record is from RNAcentral. Lineage: Eukaryota; Viridiplantae; Streptophyta; Magnoliopsida; Arecales; Arecaceae.